AAAAUUCAUCCAUCAGCUUCAUGGUGAUUUCUUGUGUGCUGGACACUGCCCUGUCUGUCCCUGCAGUCUCCUGGGCCCCAGGGUAAGCCUGCAAAGCCAGGUGGGAGGUCCCUGGUGGCUGCCUCUCGGGAUGAUGGGUUCACGUCGAGGAUCUGACUGUCUCUGACUGCCACACUGGCAGAUUUUCUUUCCAACACAGAGGCCCAGGUCCUCCUGUUGUCCAAGCGGGAGCCACCUUGUUUUAGGGGUCUACUUUCACGCAGUGCCACCUUCUUCAUUCCAGCCCUCUGCUCUCGCUCUCGCCCUCUUGUGAACAUCACCAGGUCAAAACAGGUUCUUUUAUUUAUUUAUUUACCUGACAGGCAGUGAGAGAGACAGAGAGAAAGGUCUUCCUUUUCCGUUGGUUCACCCUCCAAUGGCAGCUGCGGCCAGCGCACCGCGCUGAUCUGAAGCCAGGAGCCAGGUGCUUCUCCUGGAGUGCCAUCCUCCACUGCACUCCCGGGCCACAGCAGAGAGCUGGACUGGAAGAGGGGCAACCAGGGCAGAAUCUGGCGCCCCGAUCGGGACUAGAACCCGGUGUGCUGGCGCUGCAGGCGGAGGAUUAGCCUUGUGAACCACGGCACCAGCACAAAACACUGUUCUGUACCUGGUGUCCGCCAGCCUCUGGCUCAGUUGGGAACUGUGUCUUUUUUUUUUUAUUUAAAAGAGUUGCAGAGACAGAAAGGGGGGAGGGAGGGAGGGAGGAAGAGAGAGAGAGAGUAAGAGAGAGAGAGAGGGAGAGAUAGCUUCCAUCCUCUGCUUCACUCCCAAAAUGGCUGCAAUGGCCCUGGUCUGGGCCAGUCAGAAGCCAGGAGCUUCUGGGUCUCCCACGUGGGUGGCAGGGGCCCCAAUAUUUGGGAUAUCUUCCUCUGUUUUUCUCAGGCCAUUAGCAGCAUGCUGGAUGGGAAGUGGAGCAGGUGGGACUCGAACCUGCCACGCCACAGUGCUGGAUGGAAAACUGGCUCUUAAAACAAGAUCUGGGUGACGCCACUGCCUAGGGCUCCGUGUCCUUGGGCUUUGGAAGGCAGCACGUCCUCAGUGAUGCUGACAGCAAGAUCCUGCACAUCACUCUACUUGAAGGGACCGCACCUGUGAGCACCAGACUCUGGUGGCCACAAGGCGCAGGCGCAAGGGGCUCAGCUCUGCAUUUCUGUACUUGGCCACAAGGGGCAGCAGAGCAGACCAGCGAUGGUCCACAUUUGCAUAGGCGCAACCUUUGCUUUCUGAUUGGUUGGUACUGUUUCGUUCCAUCCAAUCUGACUCCCUCUCUGGAGCCCUCAUUUGAAUAGUGAGUCUAUAAAUAGGCUACUUAGCGUUGCAACCGCCGUUUGGGCGACGGUUCGGGUGCUGUUUUCAGUUACAGCCCGAGGGCCGUCGGAGCCCCAGCCCCGACCCCGGACAGGGCGGCGAGCGAGGGGCAGCGGCGGACGCCGGCGGGAAGGGCGGGCCCGCAGCGCAGCCGUGAGCCAGGGUGUCUGUCACUGAUGGAAGAUUGAGUAGUGAAACCAGUUUAAAGGACAAAACCAGCGUGGAAAUACAAGACCCUGGGAGGCAGUGGUGAUGGCUCAAUUGGUUGAGUUUCUGCUGCCUACUUGGAGACGUGGACUGGUUUCUGGUUCCCAGCUUCAGCCUGGGCCUGGCCUAGCCUCGCCCGAGCCAUUGCAGGUAUUUGGGAAAUGAACUAGUGGAUGGGAGCUGUCUGUGUCUUAAAAAAGAAAGACGUAUAGAAGUGACCACACUGAUAGGGAAGCCCUUUUUUGUGUAGGAAACACUAAUCCUGUGUUCUCCAUAAUUCAAGGUGCUUGCCUUUCAUCUUUAGAAAUUUUAAACAAGCCAUGACUUAAUUCAUUUAGUUGAUGGAAAAAGAACCCACGUCAAAGCCAUACUCUUGUCACGUUCUUCCACUGGUGUUCUCAUUUCACAUCACACAUCUUCACAUCACAUCACAUCACAUCACACCACAUCAUCACGUCACAUCACGUCACAUUGCAUCACAUCACAUCACAGUCUUUGUUACGUUGCUUGUCAUCACCUGUUGGCCUGUCAGUCUCCUGGCCUGUAGCUCCUUGAGGGCAGGGAUAUUGUUAUUGUCUUUGUUAUGCCUGUGUGUGGCAUAGUGCCUGAAAUUUGCUGCAUGGUUAAUAAAUAUUUGUUGAGUAAAGAAAUCACAUUUUGUUUCCAUACCAAUACAAUGAAUAAAUUCAUGUUGUGGGAAAUUUCAUUCCUAAAUGUUGUAAUAGAUUUUUAAAUUUUUUAAAGCAAGCAAACAAAAACAAAAACAGGUAAAAAAACUGCCUUUAGUUUAACUCUACUCAAAAACAUACUGUACUGUUACAGACUGUGAAAAUAAUAAUUCUUACAGAUGAUAUUGAUUGGGCUGCCAAGCAUCUGUGUUCAGCAUUCAACACUGGAUGUUCCCAAUAACCUCUGUGAUAGGUAUUGUACCCCAGUAGCCUAUGUGAUAUAUAUUGUGCUGGGUCACAGAGGCUGUGUAACUUGUUGUAGGUCACUGCACUUGUAAGAAGCAAAGCUGGAGCUUGAGCUCAGUCCUGCCCCAGACUGUGUCUAAUAUGUGUGCAGAAAAGGGUCCAAAUAUUUGUCACUUUAAUCUGAAGCUUGAGAUGACUAAAUAUAGAAGUACUUUGAAAAUUUCAUCAACCUUCUCAGGAUAGCGCUCAUGAAAAUUAGUUUCUCUUUUUAUUCCUUUUCCCUAAUCUUAUCCCACGAUUAGAUAUUUAGCUCAGAGUCAUUGAGACUAGAGAUUUAAAAGCAUGUUGUAGGUGACAUCAGUGGAAACCUAUGUAAACAGUGGAGUGAGAACAUUUGAAAAUUUAUCCCUUCAUAAAGGGAACAACAAAAUGGUAAAAGUGGUCAGAAUCAAGUUUUUGAUAAUUCUGGAAAUUUAACCAAAGGCUUGCAGCCACCUGUGGGGCAUUUACUCAAGAAAAUUGGCUGACUUUCUGUAAGAAUAGUGAGAUUUGUGUGGGUUUUGUGUAUUUAACUUGCCCUAGACAGUUCCUCCCUGGCAAGCUCAGUGUUAGCCUUAAAAAUAGCCUUGGCAGCUUAUGACAAGAGCCUCGGGUGAUGACUGACAUAAAUAAGAGUGUCAAUUGUUAAAUCAACAACGGGAGUCACUGUGCACUUACUCCCCAUGUAGGAUCUCUGUCCUUAAUGUGUGCUACUAUGUGAAUUAAUGGUAUAACUAGUACUCAAACAGUACUUUAUACUUUGUGUUUCUGUGUGGGUGCGAACUGCUGAAAUCUUUACUUAGUAUAUACUAAGUUGAUCUUCUGUAUAUAAAGAUAAUUGAGAAUGAAUCUUGAUGAAGAAUGGGAUGAGAAAGGGAAUGGGAGAUGGGAUGAUUGCAGGUGGGAGGGAGGUUAUUGGGGGGGAAAGCCACUACAAUCCAGGAGUUGUACAUUGGAAAUGUAUAUUUAUUAAAUAAAAGUUAAAAAAAAGAAACAUCUGCUUUAGGAAUAGACUGAUGUCUUAGCAAUAUUUGGGUUUAGGUUUUUGGAUUGUGGAUUAAUUUUAUUUUUAAUUUGUUGCUUCUCAAAUUUUUUUUAAAUUAUGAGAUGUAUUACUUGCAUACUCAAAGUCAUAUGUAACCACAUGACUAUUGGAUAAUGUUUGAACUUUGUCUAAGUUAUUUUGUCUACAUUUGAAUCAAAUCAGGAAUUAUAAUGAGAAAAGAGAAGUAUGUGUAAAAUGAGCAACAACAACAACAAAAAACUCAAACUCUCAAAAAAAAAAUAGCCUGUAUGCCCAGUAUCAGAGAGAGUGAGGGAGAGAGAGGGAGAGGGAUAGAGGGACAGAGGGAGAGAGGGAGACAAGGAGGGAGGGAGGGAGGGAGGGAGAGGGAGAGGGAGAGGGAGAGAGAGAGAGAGAGAGAGAGAGAAUGAAUGGAGAUGAGCAUGCAGAAUGAAGCUGAGCUCCUCCAAAGUGCAUCCCAGUGAGCUAUCAGAAUCUUGGGCCAUCUUCCACUGCUUUCCCAGGCCAUAGCAGAGAGCUGGAUUGGAAGUGGAGCAUCCAGGUCUCAAACCGGCACCCAUAUGGCAUGCUGGCACUUCAGGCCAGGGCAUUAACCUGCUGUGCCACAGCACCAGCCGUGUCGCUGACUUUCAAAUAAAUGAAUAAAUCUUAAAGAAAAAAGUAAAAGAACAAAAAAACCCUAAAGCCAAUGAAGAGAAUACUUUAAGAGAAGCAUACGGUGCAGAGGAAGAAUUACCUUAAGAGAAAAGAAGACCUCUUGCUACACAGAUGAGAAUAUGGUGCAGAUGAAAAGAUUAUGAGAAGAAAAGUGUAAUAGUUGCAGGAAGUGACAAUGUGAAAACUUGUGAACCCUUACAAAACACCCCAAAGGGCAGACCUGAGUUGUUCUCUUCAUCUGUAAGGUUUAUGCCUCUCUCUGAGUUUGGGGAGAUGCUGUUUGGAUUCCAGGACACACCACAGAGGGAGGACUGUGCCAGCAGUGUGCAAAUGCAGGUGUAUCCACAGCUUGCCUGAAGGAGGCGAUGCCCAUGGCUGACCUUCAGUGUACGACCACACCCAGCUCACCUACAGUGUCAGCAGUGGGGUGAAUAUCCGAGGAGGGAGAAAGCCUGGACUCUCCUCCUAGUCACCCACAGUGCUUGUGAGUAACAGACGAGUGAGCAUGUGGGUGUGCUCUGUCUGGGUAAGGGAGCCCCUCUCUACACUCUAGAGUCCUUCCACUACUAAACUAUGAAACUUGUAUUGUGAGGACCAAUGAAGUGACUAAAACAAUUUUUAGAAAGAAGCCAAUGAGUUAAGAUUUAAUGCACAUGAAUGAAGCAGAAGAAAUAAAGUAUACUUAAUGUUUAGAAUUAUCAAUUACUGCUGAUUUUCCAUAAUAUAUUUCAUUUCUGAUUUCACUGAAAGAUUUGAUGAGUAUUAAUAUUCGAAGAGAGUUAUGUCACUGGUAAGCUCUUGGCAUGUCUUUGAGGUGGAUUUCAGAUUCACAAUAGACUGAUCCUACCACACUGCUGUUAUACACAGAGGCUUCAUUCAGAAGAAUGUUUACUGGGCUGCAUGUAGUACGUGCAAAGUAACGGUGAAUGCAGAUUUUGCUGAGCGUGAGCUUAACCUAAUUUGGGGAAUCCCUUAUAAUGAAACAUGCAGAAUUAUGAAUAUAAAAAUUGCUCCAGCCCCUCCCAGGACCUUGGAAGGGGCACGUGCAAGCGUAAAGCCUUGAAGCUUAGACUCCAGUUCAUGAUGAAUCCAGCUCAGCUGGAACUCUUUUCUGGACUGUGUAAUGCAGUGAACAGCAUUGUUUUCACUUUAAAAACCCUCAUCUUUGGUCAUAAGAUCACUGGUGUCUUCCUGGGGCAACGGUGAUACCAAAAGUUUCCUUGAAGCAGAUUUGCUUUGUCUAAUAAAAGAAUAUGUCCCCAAAUAAAGGAGACCAGCUCCCAACACACACUUGGUGUAUUACAGCCAUUGUGCCAAUUUUUGAAGCAACCACGAGUUAGAUAUGUUCAGAUCGCAUGAUAAGAGAAUUAGUUUCCAAUACCAGCUAGCUCUGGUUUUUGCAUCACCAUGAAGCAAAUGCUUUUUUUCUUUGGCUUAAGAUGGACACAGAAUCUUGAGAUAAAUGAACUGGUGCCUCGUGCACUGUGCGCCAUCCCUAGCUCUGCUCCUACUUUUUCAGCUCCUCUCUCUGGCCUUGCUGCACAGAUGCUAGCAUGGCUGUCACUCAUUUUCCCAUCAAUGUCCAACUUCCCCCUGCUGGCAUGAAAGUCUCUGGAGACAAAGCUUCUGUCCUGUUCCAGUUUGUACCCCCAGCACUUAAUACAGCACCUGGCACUCGGUGGGCCUGGCACUCAGUGAAUGUUCUUAAAUGAAUUCAUUACUUUUCAUCAGCUGUGAUUCCACAGAUUUUCUCCCUGUGUUGUCUACAGAAAACUGUACUGGAACUCAGUCCCUUAGGAGGGAAUCUAAUGGAAUGAUAUAUGUUGAGGCCAUUUUUACUGAUGCUACCAAAACCACUUGGUGUUGGGGCUCCAGGAACCAGCUCCCCAGUGUAUGGAUAUAGGAAAAACAGACUCUCAGUGUUCUUCCCCAAGAUCUGCAGGCACUGUUGGUCCAUCCUCCACACAUCCUAAAACCUUCCCUCAUAACCAGAAUGGUUAUGACUGGGAUUCUGAACUACAGAACAGGUGGAUAGUCUUUCAACAUCAGGUUUAGUGGAGAAUCUGUAUCUUGAAUCUAAAAUUCCCUUGGGCCAUUGAACAUCACAGAAUUGUUGAGUUGAAAGUGAAUAAAACUCACUUUCUGUUGCAGUUUAGUCAGGACAAAAUAUGUGGGAUUAGGCUAGAGCAGUGUAUUUUCUUAUUUUUUUAACACUACAGUUUAACAUAUAUGCCACUUCUUCCUAUUUCAAAAGUUAUUAGUAUCCACAGAUAAUUUAUAAAUUGAGAGCUAAAUACAUUUUGGAAAAAGCUUAUGAUCUGGGUGGGUGAUGGGGAGAGAUGUGCCCUUUGGCUGGGUCCCAGGAAUUAUUUUUGCAUUAGGAUUUAAAAGCAGGUAACCCUGAGAAAGCACCAGAACCUUUUUCUCCCAGAGUACUUUGUGUUAGAUUUUUGGAAAAAAAAAUGGAAAUGAAGACCUCCUUUGCAGAGUUUAUAUACAGGGCUUAAUACCCAGAUAAGCAUAACUAUAUACAAUUUUUAUACACAAAUUGUUUUUAAAUAUGUAUUCAUCAUCUAUUGCACUUACACAUUGUGCAAAAACUGCAUUCCAUGCCACGCCUGAAAUGUUCCAAAGCUCAGUUCUGUCAGUAAAUUGCAACCAAGAUUUCUACAAAAAAAGACACGAGUGAAAGAGAAUGAAGAAGAAAAAAGAAAUAUUUUCAGAAUACUCUUCUUUCAGGAGUGAUUCUAAUUUUUAUAGAUGAAACAAUACUUCCACAUUUUAUCUACACACUAAAGAAUUUACUGGUACUGGAAGAUUUGGUUUCUGAAUUAUACUUGCACAUUUACAUUAAAUUUCAUCAUAUUAUUUUCAUAUUACAUGACAUACUUGUACUGUGUGAUCUUUACUUCUCUGGAACAGAGUUUCACAACUUGAAUGCUAUUGACAUUUUGGACUCGAUAAUGCUUUUCUUGUGGAGGUUUGUCCUGUACAUAGUAAGUGGCUUAACAGCAGGCUGGGCUUAGCUCACGCAGUGUCAGCAGCACGUGCAGGGCUGCAAGCUGUUACCUGAAUGCAAAAUCAUGUUGGCUGAGAAGCCCUGCUCUGUGGGAUUCACUCUGACCUUUGUACCUGAUAGUAUUUUUGCUAGAGAGGAAAAGGACCUGUUACAGAAUUUUAGCAACCUUCUACUACAAAUGUAAAGUAGAAUCUUAACCCUAUUUCAAGGUGAACAGUGAAGAUUUAUUAAAAUUCCAAAUGUGAUGAAAUUGUAACUUACAUAGACUGCAAAAAAGGGAGUGACUCAAAUGCACGUCUUUCGAUAAACUCUAUUUUAUUGCAGGAUAAAUCUCUAGGAAAAGGAAAACAUUGCCUUGGUUAGCUAUUACCUAUAUAGUCAGUGGGGAUAAUAAAAUUUGCAUUUGAUAAUGUUGGAUAUGCAGUUUUUACCUAAACUGUAAAGCUUUGGACUUGUAUUUGACUCUCUGGAGAUACUACCCCUUCUUACAACCUGUCCUAAUAGUCUCACUGUUAGAACCUUCAUCAAUGACAUACACAACUAUAAAUCUUGAUAGAUUGUGGUGGUAAACUUUCCUGAGUGCAGAAUUGAUUAGAUGAACUUUCAUAGUCUUCAUCCAUUUGAAACAAGGAGCAAAGCUGUCAUCUCCAUUUUUAAUGUCUAAUAUUCCAAAGAAUACUCACAUUUUCACAUCUUUCCUGGUUUAGUCCUAGUUUUCUAACUUCAUUCAAUACCAGAAAAAAAGAUGCCCUUUUGAAUCAUUUGAAAUGAAAUUGGUUCUCUAAUUAAUUCAUUAUUUUGAACUGAUUCAGAAUUACACUUUCUGUCAUACUAAAGGAAAUUUAUUUGUUGCUUGUUGCUUGAUAGUCCAUGAAAGCCAUGAUAGAACCGUCAGAAAACAGCACGACACUGGAUUCCCACUCGAAAACACUCUUGGUGGUAGAGGACUCUUACUUCCACUGAUUACAAUUUGACCCUCACUUUUCACCUGCAACUCAUCUGUUGGUGGCUCCAUCUCUAGAAUCUCCUUCUCUCACCUGUCCCACCCACAGUCACCAGUGGGACUUGCCCUAAGUGACUCUCCGAGGCCAACAUCACUAGGUGCUUACAGAAGAGGCAGAUUCUCAGCCCUGUUCUAGACCGACUCAGGCAGUUACUGUGGGGGUAGGGUUCAGAGCCCCAGGUAACUGUGGUGCAAGCUCAAGUCUGUUUUAGAGCACUGCUGUGACAGCAUGGUUCCCCGUGGUGACUCUUGCUCAGCAUUCAAAGGCCUGGAAGACCUGGCUUCACCCUCCAGCUUUCCCUGCAUCUCUGUGCCUCAGAAGCUUCCAUGUUUUCCCUUUCUCCCACGAUAUUCUCUCCAAGACGUCUGAUGAUGCCCACUGCCCCCUUGGAAGUCCUGUUCAACUGGCAUUGCUCCCUGGUUCCAUCGUCCCUGACCCAGCCCAAAGUCUUCUCCCUCGUCUGGACUCUAUAUCCAUUUCUUUUGAUAUCGUUACUUGUGCCUUCCAUUUCCCCAGAGCAUAAACUUCUUGAAAGCAUGGAUUUGGCCUUGCUCAUCUACAUUGCCCACUAUGUUUAAAACUGACUCAUGGAAAUGACUCAGGUGUUUAUUAAAUGAAGGAAUGGUUGAGUAGGUAGAAGAAGGAAAAGUGAAUUUUUAAAAAGCAGUGUGGUUUUAUUAUUCCCUGGUCCCUCUGCAGCACUCUGUCAGCUACAUAGUGCUUGUUGGGUAUUGGUUUGAGCUUGUGUAUUUGUUUCCCCUGCAAGAUUGUGAGCUCUUGGGAAGGUGGGAUCCUGUCUUACUCAUUUAUGUGUCUCCAGUACUAGGCAAAGUGUUUGGCUUUCUCUUUCAGCUUUAAACAAUUGAUUGGCAUUUUGAAAAUGAAGUGAAUACAUAUGCUAGCAUAAACUAAUUAGGCUACAAAGGAUUUUCCAGCAGAAACAAUGAAGGGCCUAUUCUACCAGCAGUAGUCUCAUUUGUUUUUCUCCAAACCAUGUUUGCAAGGUUCCGGAGCCCAGAUGGGAAAGGUGCUCAAGAGGAACCAUGCAGAUGUGGUUGUCCCCAUAUGGCCUAGAAGUUCUGAUCAUCAUUCAAAGGAGUGUUAAGGGCCCGGAGUCUGAGCAGAGCCCUCCUGCUGCACUGGAGAAGAGUCCCGCUCCAUGGUGGGCUCCGGAGUUAUGGUCAGCGCCACAUCUGCAGGCUUGAUGGUAACAUUGGGCAGGUUAUAACGGUGAACUUGAUUCUGAUCUGGAGACCAGUCCAUCCCCUUCUGAAUCUGUGGAGUCUGAGCUAUGAUAGUCUCUUUAGGAGAUUCUAGCGCUUGAGCUCGGGGAUCUUGCUGUACUGGAGAUUUGACUUCCACAGGGAGUGCCGAAGGCUUCUCCGGGGCUUCCAGUUGGCUUCUAGAAGGUUCGAUCUCUGGAGACUCAGAAGGCUGAGCAGGCUGCUCCUGAUUGCUGGAGGAAUAUUCAGUGUUCACAGGCAGGCCGGAAGGCUGAGCUGGGGCCCCCUGCUGGGCUACAGAUGGGCUGACUUCCUCAGCAUACUCUGAGGGCUGAGCUGUGGCAUCGUUUUGGGUAGAGAAAGGUCCAGUCUCCUCAGGGAGAUCUGAGGUCUGAGCUAGACCCUCUUGAGUCCAAGAUUCCACCUUCCCAGGGAAUUCUGGUAUCUGCUCUGGGGCCUCUUGUUGGGCUGAGGGGAGUCCCACUCCCUCAGGAUGCCCCAGAGGCUGAGCUGGAGCCUGCUCCGUGCUUGGAGUAGACUGAACUUCCUCACCUGCCCCUGAGGCUUCUGUCAGCUCCGUGUCUGCAGGUUUCAGUGUGACGCUGGGGAAGUUUGCUUGGCGAGCUACAAUCUGAGGUGAGGAUGGAGUGUUAAGACUGUGAUACACUGAUGCCUGACCUACUACUGCAGUAGCAAAUGGAUUCUGAGCGGGGGCCUCCUGCUGCAACGGAGAUGCUUCUUCCUCGGGCUGCUGCAGGUCUGCACCUGGGCCCUCUUGCUGGGGUGAAGAAGGUUCAUCUGGUUCAACGGCCUGUGGAGGCGGAGCUUGUCCUUCUUGCUGUGCGGAGGAGGAUUGGAUGGGCUCCUGAGUCUCUGGAUUUUGAGUCUGGCCCUCCAGCAGGAAUUGAGAUGGUUCAGCCUGCUCAGAGGGCUGUGCAGGUUCCCCUGGGUUCUCCUGGGAUUCCGUAGGAAAACCACCAGGAUAGACCCCAUAGUCAGCCGGCAACACUUGAUUUUGACCCUGAAGCUUGGCCGCUUUGUCUGGAGUUCCAACACCAACCUUAGGAAGCCGUCGACGCCGAGCUAGAUCUUUCUUGGGGGUCAGGGGUGAAACAAUCAACUUGUUUCCUUGUGAAUCCUGACUGUCUAGAGGCAGAAUGAAUGCUUCCAAUGACUGGUGAAUCUUUCCUUCCAGUCGAGGAGGCAGAGCCAGGGGCUGAACCUGAUCCCCGUCUAGCACGGGAAUGGCCUCUGGUAGCCUUUGUUGUCGAGUCAGCCUAUUGAAAUACUGCUUUGGAACAGCAAGCUGUUCUGGCUCUGGGGGCACCCCUUGAGCUGAAUCCAUGUCCAGAAAAGGAAGCAAACUCACUGUGGACUCUCGAGGCGAGGCCAGCAUCUGGGAGAGAGCAGAAGACCCCAGGUAAUCAAAGCCGCCGGGGUCUGCCGGGGGUGUGAGUGCGUCAGGCGAUUCAGGUGGGAAGUUCGGGGAGUGGGAAGACCAGGGCUCAGAGAGCCAAGGGAGGCUGGAGGUCAGCUGGACCAGGUCCUGGGCCCACUCCAGAGGCUGAGUCGCCUGGACUGGCAGCCACAAAGGCUGCCAGUUGAAGAGGAGCCAUGGGACCCACAAGCACAAAGGGGUCAUUGACGGGGUUUUCAAGAUACAGUGACUCAGGCUGCUGGGGCACACGCAGUAUGCCCUGAGCAUGAGCUAAUGAAUUUUCAGGAUACAGUAACUCAGGCUGCUAGGGCACACACAGCAUGCCCUGAGCAUGAGCUAAUGAAUUAUGGCAGCCCCUUAGAGGGCAUGCCUUAGCAACUGUGCACCCCGCCCCACCCUUUAUGACACCUGACCUUUAUUUACACAUUCUUUAUUAGGCUCCGCCUCCAGGGCUCUUCUGCUUUGAGCCAGGGCAGCCUUUUUCUACAGCCACUGGGUCACAGACCCAGGUGGCUCCAGAACCCCAGCAGCCCACUAGUGUGGGGUGGGGCUGGGGAGGCGGACUUUCCCAAGGAAGUAACAGGGCUGGUUUUUUUUUGGGGGGGGGUCUUCAGAGUUAUCUGGUUCUGGUUGCUAGCUUGAAGUUUCCUCCUCCAAGUUCAAAUCCAAGAGCUGUCUUUCCUCCCAUCAGGGCCCUAACUGGCCCUAUUAUGCUUAUUUAUUAUGGAACGAGGCCAUUUCCUCUAAAGUCUCAGUAUCCUUGUUUUCAUAUUUGACAGUUCUGUUAGGUAGGGGCUACAAUGAAAUCAGUUCUUAGAAGAUUUCUGUAGAGACAUGGGCAAUUCAGUGUGGGUGUGAUGAUUAGAACAGAAAUCAAUAGCAGUUUACAUUGGCAUAGGAAAACUUCCUCCAUUCUACCCUGGCUCAGUACAGCUGCUAGCCUAGAAGUAACAAUGGCACUUUUUCGUGGUUUUACCCUGUGUGGCCCAUAGAGAAGAUACGUAAGAUGUUAAUGUCCGCAAAGCAUACUGCUGUGACCAGAACCCAGCUGACUUCCUUCAGAGCCCUUUUCAUAAUCUAUUUUAUUAUGCACUGUCUGACACAGCUUCUACUAUGGAAACUCCAAGAGAGGUCUCUAUCUUAUUCCCAGUACCUAGCACAUGGCUUGGCAUAUGGUAAUGAUUUUCAUAUUUUUAAAAUUUGAAAUGAUUAUUUGAGAGAGAGCUCUUAUGUACUGGAUUAUUUCCCAAAUACCUGCAAUGGCUGAGAUGGGGCCAGUCAAACCAGAAGUCAAGAACUCAAUCCAGCUUUGCCAUAUGGGUGGCAAGAACCCAACUACCCAAGCCGUUGCUGCUCUCAAAGUCUGCAUUAGAAGGAAGCUGGAGUUAGGAGCCAGAUCUGUAUGUUGAACCCCAGGUACUCUGAAUGUGGGAUACAAAUGUCUUUAUUGCCAAAUACUCCAGUAAUGGUGUUAAAAAUGGAAGUGAGGCUGGCGCCGUGGCUCAAUAGGCUAAUCCUCCAUCUGUGGUGCCGGCACAGCAGGUUCUAGUCCCGGUCAGGGCACCAGAUUCUGUCCCGGUUGCUCCUCUUCCAGUCCAGCUCUCUGCUGUUGCCCAGGCGUGCAGAGGAGGAUGGCCCAAGUCCUUGGGCCCUUCACCUGCAUGGGAGACCAGGAGAAGCACCUGGCUCCUGGCUUCGAUUCGGCGUGGUGUGCCAGCCGCAGCGCGCUGGCCGCAGCGGCCAUUGGAGGGUGAACCAAUGGAAAAAGGUGCUCUGAGGCCGGUGUACCAUGCUGAUCCGAUGGCAAGAGCCAGGUGCUUCUCCUGGUCUCCCAUGUGGGUGCAGGGCCCAAGCACUUGGGCCAUCCUCCACUGCACUCCUUGGCCACAGCAGAGAGCUGGAGUGGAAGAGGGGCAACCGGGACAGAAUCCAGCGCCCUGACCAGGACUAGAACCCGGUGUGCCGGCGCAGCAAGGCGGAGGAUUAGCCUAUUGAGCCGUGGCGCCAGCCUGGAACAUCUUUCUUUCUCUGUUUCUCUCUCACACUGUCCACUCUGCCUGUCAAAAAAAAAAAAAUGGAAGUGAAGGGGCUGGCACUGUGGCUUAGCAUGUAAAUUCGGUAAUUCUGUGCCUGCAGUGCUGGGAUCCUGUUCCAGUCCUACAUGUGACUACAAGGUGUACAGAUUUUAUUCUGGUGGGUAUGAGUCCAGACAGGUGGAAUGCAAGCAGUUUCUUAAGUAAUUGCACUGGGUAGAUUUCAGCGGGAUUGAGAAAUUUAGAACUAAUUGUUACAGACCUGGUGUUGCAGGGUACAGAUCUCCCAGGGUGGGGGGUUUUUUUUUUUUUAAAUGAGCUGAUGUUGGUGCUAACCCCCAGAAAUGAAAGGGCAUUGCUCUGGCUCAUACAGUGUGUGAGCGUAACUCUGGAGUAAUGCCACAAACUAUCACCAUUGCAGGAUGUAGAGAAUCUUUGCUUUGCCCUACAAGUUGUGCUGACUGAUUCUGGUAGGAGUGUUGCAGAGGCCCACUGUGAACUCUUUUUUGCAGACUCUGGAGCUCUGUAGCAGUGGGGGAUGGUAGGGGAAUAGUGUGGCUUCCCUUCUCCAAGCCUAGAAGUUGCUGAGACCCCAGUUAGCUCCCCAGGCUGAAUAUGGCAGUCCUGUCUUGUAUAGAUGACAUAAUAAUGACACGUGGUAGUGUAUGAAUCCUGGAGAAUGAAAAAAACAGUCAUUUAGAACAUCUAUUUUAGACCAUAAAUGAUAACAAAGCACUUUCUAUUUGUUCUCUUUCAAAUAAAAACAAGAAUAAAUAUAUAAAUAGUUUUAAAAUGUAGCUGGAAAAACCUUUCAAAUUUUGAGAUUUGAGUAGAUGUAAUGCUAUUUUUUUUUCUUCCCGAGAGGACACACAUAAAAUAUCCGAAACAGAAUUUUUGCUCCUGAGCUGAGAGUGGACUGAAGAGAAGUGGAGUUGGGGACACUGAAGAGAUGAGGGUGCAGGCUGCAGAUCAUUGAAGAAAUGCUGUCAAGAAGAACAAGAAGCAUAAGAGGAUCUUGGUACAAAUACCACACCUGGCCCCUGUAACACCAGUUCUCACUUAGCCCAUGUGCAUGAUGAAGACAUGAAGAGGUAAGUUAGGCCUAUGUGUGCUGAGGCCAUUGGUGAAUGGUGAUUGUGUUCAGGAGUAGAGUAUUAGGAAAAUAUUUUGUAUGGUUGGUGUGUGUGCAGUUAUGGCAUAGGGAAAGACUGCUUGUGUAGAUUCGUGAGAUUACAUUAUGUAUAUAUGUAUUCUGUUCACCUUUGUGUUUGGGGAGUUCAUUAGGAAUUGGAUCGGGUUCAUCAUUGGGUCUGGAGAAACAGCUAUGUGUUUUUGGAGACUACAUUGUGGACAGGACACCGAGCAUCAAAACUCUGACGAUGUGGUGUAGUUGAGUGGGUUGAGCAUGAAGACUGGAUUUUGAGGGUGUUUGGGUGAUAUGCAAGAUGGUGUUUUUUUAUUUCAUGUGCUUUCUAGUGGCUUCACAUGUUGUACACAUUUUGCUCAGAUGUCCAAGUUCUUUGAAGUGGGUGCAGGAUUGUGGUGGGAUGGAGAAUCGUCAGGGCUCUGGAAUUUGUGUGGAGAUUGUAGUGGUGUAUAUGUGUGACUGAGCAUAGAGGAAGCUAGUGCAUAUCGGCGUGCAUUUUGUGGUGUUUGAAUUCAGCUACUUUGGGAGCUGUAGAACAGUAGGAAAUGGUUUUAGCAGGAGAUAGUGGGAUUUGCUGUCAUGAAUGGAGUUGCUCCAUGGAGACUUGUAAGUCCUUCCAGACAAAAUCAACUUCUGUGCUUUUGCCUGUAAAAUAUCCAUAACUUACAAAGUUGUUCUGAAAGUCAGCUACUAUUAGUGAAAAACAUCUGUCAUUUUUCUUUAUACAAAGAGAGACAUUUGUAUACAGUGGUAUAAAAUGGAUAUAAAGUUGAAUGGGAUAAAAUGGAGUAGAGGG
Molecule: non-coding RNA, 14848 nt
Organism: Oryctolagus cuniculus (rabbit)
Lineage: Eukaryota; Metazoa; Chordata; Mammalia; Lagomorpha; Leporidae
Source: RefSeq, a predicted model, not a curated record